This 20-nucleotide small nuclear RNA is filed under the name Arabidopsis thaliana (thale cress). RNAcentral describes it as "snRNA_09572". Lineage: Eukaryota; Viridiplantae; Streptophyta; Magnoliopsida; Brassicales; Brassicaceae. The record is from RNAcentral.
UCCAAUGCUUUUUCUAGUUU